CUCAUCAGAGGACGUGGUGGCAAAGGAGGGCAGGGGUUUUAGGAGUUACCGUGUGUGGAUGCUCCCCGGCACUGCAGUGAAAGUCGGAUGGAGCAAAAGGUAGGGCAGAGUGUCCCUUUCACCACACCAUCUUCCGGCCGGGAAUCUGGCUUGCAGACUUUUUCUCUGCUGGUCUCUCAGGCCACGUGUGAGCAAGCACGUGUCACCAACAAGCGAGUGAGGGCUGGUUGUGGGGGAAAGUGUCAAGUGAUCAACCCUCUAGUUUGCCUGGACGCUCUAGGUUCUGCACUGACAGCCUUGCAUCCCUGAAAACCCCUCAGUCCCUGGCAAAACUGGACACUUGGUUAUCCUACUCACCAACCGGAGCAGUAUCAUGGAAAAUUAAGACUCACAACACCUGGUCAUGUGACCCAGCUCCAGCCAAUGAGAUCUAGUAGAGGUCUGGGAAGAAGUGGCUUCUGGGAAGGCUCUUACUUUCUUGAUGCUGGAGGACUGACAAGGCUGGCAGUAUGUGUCUGCUUCAUCCUUCCUCGCCAUCUUGAAGGUGACCUCAAGCAACAAGGGGCCAGAACUAUGUGGACUUUGAUUUGGAAUGUCCUUCCUACCCAGCCCUAUCCCCCUUCUGCUUGGGCUCAGGGUCCUGUUUUUCAGUGAAAAAUGGCAGGACUGGGGCUCAAGAAAGCCGAGUGCAGGUUCAAUCUGUUCAUUGACAGUGAGAACUUAGAUAAGUCACUCGCCUGUCCCAGAGCGGCUUGCCUUCCUCUGAGAACUGGGGCUGAGCCUGUGAGAACAGCCCCCCAGGUUCUUGGAAGAUCAAGUAAAGUAAGGUACCCUAUGAGGUGUUGAGGAGGUGCUGUUAGUGACAAGAAGAGGUCAGGUCAGCAUUCCCAAGGCUGUGUGAGAACUGCCCCAGAGGUGUGUUAAAAUUCUCAUUCUGGGCCUCCACUGCAAUCUACUGAAUCAGGAUUUCCAGAGGUGGGGCCCAGGAAAUGUGUGCAACCGAUUUUGCAUUGCAGCCUAGUUGGGGGUGGGGGAGAUACUGAAUUCAGUAAUAUAGUAGAGGGUGUUUCCCACUCUAAAAGCAGAAAUAGCUGUUUGGGGGAUUGGUCUUCUUUUGUACCAUUUUGAUGGUUAGGUGCAAGGCCCAGAUUUGGGAUAAUUUCAAGGUGAAAAACAGAAAACCAGAAUAAACAAGGAGGGGGGAAUCU
This 1208-nucleotide long non-coding RNA is filed under the name Bos indicus x Bos taurus (hybrid cattle). RNAcentral describes it as "lncRNA (ENSBIXG00000025563.1)". Lineage: Eukaryota; Metazoa; Chordata; Mammalia; Artiodactyla; Bovidae. The record is from RNAcentral.